GAUGAAGAACGCAGCGAAAUGCGAUACGUAAUGUGAAUUGCAGAAUUCAGUGAAUCAUCGAGUCUUUGAACGCACAUUGCGCCCCCUGGUAUUCCGGGGGGCAUGCCUGUCCGAGCGUCAUUGCUGCCCUCAAGCACGGCUUGUGUGUUGGGCCUCCGUCCUCCUCCCGGGGGACGGGGCCGAAAGGCAGCGGCGGCACCGCGUCCGGUCCUCGAGCGUAUGGGGCUUCGUCACCCGCUCUUGUAGGCCCGGCCGGCGCUUGCCGACACAUCAAUCUUUUUUCCAGGUUGACCUCGGAUCAGGUAGGGAUACCCGCUGAACUUAAGCAUAUCAAUAAGCGGAGA
This 344-nucleotide unclassified non-coding RNA is filed under the name soil metagenome. RNAcentral describes it as "partial contains 5.8S ribosomal RNA, internal transcribed spacer 2, and large subunit ribosomal RNA". The stretch from base 1 to 120 matches the Rfam family "5.8S ribosomal RNA", at positions 35 to 154 of the family's 154-position model. The record is from RNAcentral.